Molecule: transfer RNA, 75 nt
Filed under: Cordylochernes scorpioides
Lineage: Eukaryota; Metazoa; Arthropoda; Arachnida; Pseudoscorpiones; Chernetidae
Description: tRNA-Asn
Rfam family: tRNA (bases 10-67)
About the family: Transfer RNA (tRNA) molecules are approximately 80 nucleotides in length. Their secondary structure includes four short double-helical elements and three loops (D, anti-codon, and T loops).
Source: RNAcentral
UGUCCAGGGUAGCCUAGUGGACAUGGCAUCUGCCCGUUAAGCGGAACACUGUGGGUUCGAUUCCCACUUUUAUUU